UGUUGUGGGCCCAGUGGCAGGUGAUC
RNAcentral lists this unclassified non-coding RNA (26 nucleotides) under Mus musculus (house mouse). RNAcentral describes it as "oocyte_clustered_small_RNA6340". Lineage: Eukaryota; Metazoa; Chordata; Mammalia; Rodentia; Muridae. The record is from RNAcentral.